AUUUAAGUAGUUAAGUAAUAAUAGUGAUUUGUGGGAUCAAAGUUAUAAUUAUACACAUUAUCUUAAAUA
This 69-nucleotide transfer RNA is filed under the name Staphylinidae sp. BMNH 1274637. RNAcentral's name for it is "tRNA-His". The record is from RNAcentral. Lineage: Eukaryota; Metazoa; Arthropoda; Insecta; Coleoptera; Staphylinidae.